AGAUUGAACGCUGGCGGCAGGCCUAACACAUGCAAGUCGAGCGGUAGAGAGGUGCUUGCAUCUCUUGAGAGCGGCGGACGGGUGAGUAAUGCCUAGGAAUCUGCCUAGUGGUGGGGGAUAACGUUCGGAAACGGACGCUAAUACCGCAUACGUCCUACGGGAGAAAGCGGGGGACCUUCGGGCCUCGCGCCAUUAGAUGAGCCUAGGUCGGAUUAGCUAGUUGGUGAGGUAAUGGCUCACCAAGGCGACGAUCCGUAACUGGUCUGAGAGGAUGAUCAGUCACACUGGAACUGAGACACGGUCCAGACCUCCUACGGGAGCAGCAGUGGGGAAUAGUGGGACAAGUGGGACGAAAGCCUAGGAUCCAGCCAUCGCCGCGUGGUG
RNAcentral lists this ribosomal RNA (384 nucleotides) under uncultured soil bacterium. Its description in RNAcentral is "bacterial SSU rRNA". It matches the Rfam family "Bacterial small subunit ribosomal RNA", at positions 26 to 406 of the family's 1533-position model. The record is from RNAcentral.